UACGUAGGGGGCGAGCGUUGUCCGGAAUCACUGGGCGUAAAGGGCGUGUAGGCGGGUUAGCAAGUUGCGGGUAAAAAACCAGGGCUCAACCCUGGGGGUGCCUGCGAAACUGCUGACCUUGAGGGCGGGAGAGGAGAGUGGAAUUCCCGGAGUAGCGGUGAAAUGCGUAGAUACCGGGAGGAACACCAGUGGCGAAGGCGGCUCUCUGGACCGCACCUGACGCUGAGGCGCGAAAGCUAGGGGAGCGAACGGG
RNAcentral lists this ribosomal RNA (253 nucleotides) under uncultured microorganism. Its description in RNAcentral is "partial 16S ribosomal RNA". It matches the Rfam family "Bacterial small subunit ribosomal RNA", at positions 524 to 776 of the family's 1533-position model. The record is from RNAcentral.